This 463-nucleotide ribosomal RNA is filed under the name Salmonella enterica subsp. enterica serovar Typhimurium. RNAcentral's name for it is "partial 23S ribosomal RNA". It matches the Rfam family "Bacterial large subunit ribosomal RNA", at positions 1 to 494 of the family's 2925-position model. Lineage: Bacteria; Pseudomonadati; Pseudomonadota; Gammaproteobacteria; Enterobacterales; Enterobacteriaceae. The record is from RNAcentral.
GGGUUGUGAGGUUAAGCGACUAAGCGUACACGGUGGAUGCCCUGGCAGUCAGAGGCGAUGAAGGACGUGCUAAUCUGCGAUAAGCGCCGGUAAGGUGAUAUGAACCGUUAUAACCGGCGAUUUCCGAAUGGGGAAACCCAGUGUGAUUCGUCACACUAUCAUUAACUGAAUCCAUAGGUUAAUGAGGCGAACCGGGGGAACUGAAACAUCUAAGUACCCCGAGGAAAAGAAAUCAACCGAGAUUCCCCCAGUAGCGGCGAGCGAACGGGGAGGAGCCCAGAGCCUGAAUCAGCAUGUGUGUUAGUGGAAGCGUCUGGAAAGGCGCGCGAUACAGGGUGACAGCCCCGUACACAAAAGCGCAUGUGCUGUGAGCUCGAUGAGUAGGGCGGGACACGUGGUAUCCUGUCUGAAUAUGGGGGGACCAUCCUCCAAGGCUAAAUACUCCUGACUGACCGAUAGUGAA